Molecule: ribosomal RNA, 476 nt
Filed under: Yamadazyma membranifaciens
Lineage: Eukaryota; Fungi; Ascomycota; Pichiomycetes; Serinales; Debaryomycetaceae
Description: eukaryotic LSU rRNA
Rfam family: Eukaryotic large subunit ribosomal RNA
Source: RNAcentral
AGCUCAAAUUUGAAAUCUGGCACCUUCGGUGUCCGAGUUGUAAUUUGAAGAAGGUAUCUUUGGUUUUGGCUCUUGUCUAUGUUCCUUGGAACAGGACGUCACAGAGGGUGAGAAUCCCGUGCGAUGAGAUGCCCAAUUCCAUGUAAAGUUCCUUCGACGAGUCGAGUUGUUUGGGAAUGCAGCUCUAAGUGGGUGGUAAAUUCCAUCUAAAGCUAAAUAUUGGCGAGAGACCGAUAGCGAACAAGUACUGUGAAGGAAAGAUGAAAAGAACUUUGAAAAGAGAGUGAAAAAGUACGUGAAAUUGUUGAAAGGGAAGGGCUUGAGAUUAGACUUGGAAUUUUCCAUUUAUGGAGCUUUCCGGGCCAGCAUCAGUUUGGAUGGCAGGAUAAUUGCGUUGGAAAGUAGCACCACUUCGGUGGUGUGUUAUAGACUUCGUCGAUACUGCCUAUCUAGACUGAGGACCGCGUCUUUGACUA